AUGCUGCAGUAUGUGAUUCAUCAGAUACGCUCUUCUGCAUUUUUCCAAUAUCUAUCUCCUUCAACGUUUCUAGGCGGUAUCAUCAGGCUCCUUAGUGCAUUGCCUCAGGUACAGAAGAAGGACUCAUUAAUGCUUGGCCUCUGCCUGUGCUCUGCAAUGAGAUAUGGCAAAGCUCAGUCCUCAAGCCUUCUUCCUGUGACCAGGUACAAAUGUGUUUGGUUUUUUUGUUUCUUAAAGAGUAGAUAUAUUAGCUCAAUGGAAACUGUAGUCUUAUAUGCCUCCCCCGACCACUGAUAGAUUC
RNAcentral lists this long non-coding RNA (301 nucleotides) under Calidris pugnax (ruff). RNAcentral describes it as "lncRNA (ENSCPUG00000013327.1)". Lineage: Eukaryota; Metazoa; Chordata; Aves; Charadriiformes; Scolopacidae. The record is from RNAcentral.